GGACGAACGCUGGCGGCGUGCCUAAUACAUGCAAGUCGAACGGCUUUUCUAUGGAAGCUUGCUUCCACUGAGAAGAUAGUGGCGAACGGGUGAGUAACACGUGGGUAACCUGCCCAUAAGAGGGGGGAUAACAUCCGGAAACGGGUGCUAAUACCGCAUAGUUUUCUUGAUCGCAUGAUCGGGAAAGGAAAGACGGCCUUUGUGCUGUCGCUUAUGGAUGGACCCGCGGCGUAUUAGUUAGUUGGUGAGGUAACGGCUCACCAAGACGAUGAUACGUAGCCGACCUGAGAGGGUGAUCGGCCACAUUGGGACUGAGACACGGCCCAAACUCCUACGGGAGGCAGCAGUAGGGAAUCUUCCGCAAUGGACGAAAGUCUGACGGAGCAACGCCGCGUGAGUGAAGAAAAGGGUUUUCGGAUCGUAAAACUCUGUUGUCAGAGAAGAACAAGUUGGAGAGUAACUGCUCCAGCCUUGACGGUAUCUGACCAGAAAGCCACGGCUAACUACGUGCCAGCCGCAGC
RNAcentral lists this ribosomal RNA (521 nucleotides) under uncultured bacterium. RNAcentral's name for it is "bacterial SSU rRNA". It matches the Rfam family "Bacterial small subunit ribosomal RNA", at positions 27 to 518 of the family's 1533-position model. The record is from RNAcentral.